This 1510-nucleotide ribosomal RNA is filed under the name uncultured prokaryote. RNAcentral describes it as "partial 16S ribosomal RNA". It matches the Rfam family "Bacterial small subunit ribosomal RNA". The record is from RNAcentral.
AGAGUUUGAUCCUGGCUCAGAUUGAACGUUGGCGGCAGGCUUAACACAUGCAAGUCGAACGAGAAAGGUCCUUCGGGGCCGAGUAAAGUGGCGGACGGGUGAGUAACGCGUAGGAAUCUACCUGGUAGUGGGGGACAACUCGAGGAAACUCGGAUGACCUUGGGUUUAGCGCCCUUGGUGAAAGUGGGGGAUCUUCGGACCUCACGCUAUUAGAGGAGCCUGCGUUGGAUUAGCUUGUUGGUGAGGUAACGGCUCACCAAGGCUUCGAUCCAUAGCUGGUCUGAGAGGACGAUCAGCCACACUGGAACUGAGACACGGUCCAGACUCCUACGGGAGGCAGCAGUGGGGAAUAUUGCACAAUGGGCGAAAGCCUGAUGCAGCCAUGCCGCGUGUGUGAAGAAGGCCUUCGGGUUGUAAAGCACUUUCAGUUGUGAGGAAAGGGGGCUGGUUAAUAGCCCAACAGCCUUGACGUUACCAACAGAAGAAGCACCGGCUAACUUCGUGCCAGCAGCCGCGGUAAUACGAGGGGUGCAAGCGUUAAUCGGAAUUACUGGGCGUAAAGCGUUCGUAGGCGGUCUAUUAAGCAAGAUGUGAAAGCCCAGGGCUCAACCUUGGAACUGCAUUUUGAACUGGUAGACUAGAGUACUGUAGAGGGUGGCCGCCUUUCCAGUGUAGCGGUGAAAUGCGUAGAUAUCAGGAAGAACACCGAUGGCGAAGGCAGCUUACUGGGCCAUAACUGACGCUGAGGAACGAAAGCGUGGGUAGCGAACAGGAUUAGAUACCCUGGUAGUCCACGCCGUAAACGAUGAGUACUUGAUGGUGGGGGAUUCGACCCCUUCACUGUCGGAGCUAACGCGUUAAGUACUCCACCUGGGGACUACGACCGCAAGGUUGAAACUCAAAGGAAUUGACGGGGGCCCGCACAAGCGGUGGAUUAUGUGGUUUAAUUCGAUGCAACGCGAAGAACCUUACCUGGGUUUGACAUGUGCAGGAAAUUUUCGUGAAAGCGAGAACCUCUACGAGCUUGCUCAAAGACCUGUUCACAGGUGAUGCAUGGCUGUCGUCAGCUCGUGUCGUGAGAUGUUGGGUUAAGUCCCGCAACGAGCGCAACCCCUGUCCUUAGUUGCCAGCACGUAAUGGUGGGGACUCUAGGGAGACUGCCUGGGAUAACCAGGAGGAAGGUGGGGAUGACGUCAAGUCAGUAUGUCCCUUAUAUCCAGGGCUACACACGUAAUACAAUGGUAAAUACAGAGGGCCAGCGAGCCAGCGAUGGUGAGCGAAUCCCUAAAGUUUAUCUCAGUCCGGAUUGGAGUCUGCAACUCGACUCCAUGAAGUUGGAAUCGCUAGUAAUCGCGGAUCAGCAUGCCGCGGUGAAUAUGUUCCCGGGCCUUGUACACACCGCCCGUCACGCCAUGGAAGUCGGUAGCACCCAACGACAGUGCCCUAACCUUCGGGAAGGAGCUGUUUAAGGUGAGAUUGGUAACUGGGGCGAAGUCGUAACAAGGUAACC